GAGUUUGAUCGUGGCUCAGGGUGGUAGGAACAUUGAGGCUGGGGCCGCCUGAGGCUUUGGCAUGAGGCUGGGGGGCUGAGGAGAGAUGUGAAACAGUUACACCGGGGGUGAAGGUGUCAGAGAGGCCUCUCAGUUUCAGCUUGAGUCGGCAAGGCAGGCCAUGUGGUGGCUGGUGGGGAAGUCACCACUGCCCCAGGCCAGAGAGGAUUGCCUCUGAGCCAGAGAUGUCCAGGGCUGCCUCUGAGAGAGGUACAGGUGGGAGUGGACACGGGCAGGUCAACCACUGUCCCUGCCCCAUGACCCCGACACAGGUCAGAUGACCCAGAUGUGGGGGCCAGGGCAGGAGCAGUUGAGGGCCAGGCUAUCAGCUGAGUCGAAAGUUGGGACCCC
RNAcentral lists this ribosomal RNA (390 nucleotides) under uncultured microorganism. RNAcentral's name for it is "partial 16S ribosomal RNA". The record is from RNAcentral.